AUGGACCAAAGAGGGAUGGAGAUUCCUGUGACUCUCAUCAUUAAAGCACCGAAUCAGAAAUACAGUGACCAGACUAUUAGCUGCUUCUUGAACUGGACUGUGGGGAAACUAAAAACGCAUCUAUCUAACGUGUACCCUAGCAAACCAUUGACAAAGGACCAGAGGUUGGUGUAUUAUGGUAGACUGCUUCCUGACCAUCUGCAGCUGAAAGACAUCCUCAGAAAACAAGAUGAGUAUCAUAUGGUUCAUCUAGUCUGUGCUUCUCAGAGUACUCCCAGUUCUCCAAGAUCCAGCUCCGAUAGAGGAAGUCACGAAGCACUGGCAUCCAGCACCAAUUCUAAUUCAGAUCAUUCAGAUUCAACAACUCCAUCACCCAGACAAGAGAGUUUGUCAUUAGUUACUGGUUCUUCAGAAGGAUUGAGACAGCAUACCCUUUCACAAGCACAAACUGACCCAGCCCAGAGUCAUCAGUUUCCAUAUGUAAUCCAAGGAAAUGUUGAUCACCAGUUUCCUGGGCAAGGUGUGCCCCCUGGGUUCCCAGUGUACCCUGCGCUCAGCCCACUGCAGAUGCUGUGGUGGCAGCAGAUGUAAGCUCAUCAGUAUUAUAUGCAAUAUCAAGCUGCAGUUUCAGCUCAGGCCACAUCAAGUGCCGGCUCAGCCCAGCAUGCUGCAUCAUCACCUCUAAAUUUGGCACAUGUUCCUGGAGAAGAGCCUCCACCAGCUCCCAACCUAGUGGCCCAAGAAAAUGGGCCCAUGAAUGAGAAUGUUCAAAUGAAUGCACAGGGUGGCCCAGUGCUGAAUGAAGAAGACUUGAACCACGACUGGCUGGACUGGGUGUACACAUUCUCCAGAGCUGCCGUCCUCCUCAGCAUCGUAUACUUCUAUUCUUCUUUCAGUCGGUUUAUCAUGGUAAUGGGAGCCAUGCUGCUGGUUUAUUUACACCAAGCUGGAUGGUUUCCAUUCAGGCAAGAAGGCGGUCAGCAACAACAGCCUCCCAACAAUGUGGACGCUAACAAUGACGGGCAUAAUGCAAACAAUCUAGAACUUGAAGAAAUGGAGCACCUUAUGGAUGAUGGCCUUGAAGAUGAGAGUUGAGAAGAUGCAGGUGAAGAUGCCAGUGCAGCUCAAAGGCCUGGGUUAAUGGCUUCAGCUUGGUCUUUUAUCACCACCUUUUUUACUUCACUAAUACCAGAGGGGCCUCCCCAAGUUGCCAAUUAGACCUGAAAAACUGUGCCAGCUGCAAAGGAAGGUUUGACUUUAGGAAAGCGGUUUAAAUAACAGUGCAAUUUAAAAACAAUGUAUAACUUUUCUUUUGAUGAUCAUGUACAGAGGUCUU
This is an RNA transcript of Mus pahari (shrew mouse), 1336 nucleotides long. It is a transcript of the gene named homocysteine-responsive endoplasmic reticulum-resident ubiquitin-like domain member 2 protein pseudogene, with no coding region annotated. Lineage: Eukaryota; Metazoa; Chordata; Mammalia; Rodentia; Muridae. The record is from RefSeq and is a predicted model, not a curated record. The transcript has a single exon.